CAGCCGCCCGGUAAUACGGAGGGUGCAAGCGUUAAUCGGAAUUACUGGGCGUAAAGCGCACGCAGGCGGUCUGACAAGUCAGAUGUGAAAUCCCCGGGCUUAACCUGGGAACUGCAUUUGAAACUGUCAGGCUGGAGUCUUGUAGAGGGGGGUAGAAUUCCAGGUGUAGCGGUGAAAUGCGUAGAGAUCUGGAGGAAUACCGGUGGCGAAGGCGGCCCCCUGGACAAAGACUGACGCUCAGGUGCGAAAGCGUGGGGAGCAAACAGGAUUAGAUACCCCGGUAGUCCCUGUCUCUUAUACA
This 301-nucleotide ribosomal RNA is filed under the name uncultured bacterium. RNAcentral's name for it is "partial 16S ribosomal RNA". It matches the Rfam family "Bacterial small subunit ribosomal RNA", at positions 512 to 808 of the family's 1533-position model. The record is from RNAcentral.